UGCAGAGGGUGCAAGCGUUGUUCGGAAUUAUUGGGCGUAAAGGGCGCGUAGGCGGUGCGGUAAGUCUUUUGUGAAAUCUCCGGGCUCAACUCGGAGUCUGCAGGAGAAACUACCGUGCUGGAGUGUGGGAGAGGUGCGUGGAAUUCCCGGUGUAGCGGUGAAAUGCGUAGAUAUUGGGAGGAACACCAGUGGCGAAGGCGGCUAACUGGACCGGUUCUGACGCUGAGGCGCGAAAGCGUGGGGAGCAAACGGG
RNAcentral lists this ribosomal RNA (253 nucleotides) under uncultured prokaryote. Its description in RNAcentral is "partial 16S ribosomal RNA". It matches the Rfam family "Bacterial small subunit ribosomal RNA", at positions 524 to 776 of the family's 1533-position model. The record is from RNAcentral.